This 458-nucleotide ribosomal RNA is filed under the name uncultured bacterium. Its description in RNAcentral is "bacterial SSU rRNA". It matches the Rfam family "Bacterial small subunit ribosomal RNA", at positions 29 to 506 of the family's 1533-position model. The record is from RNAcentral.
GUGAACGCUGGCGGCGUGCUUAACACAUGCAAGUCGAACGGAUGAAAUAAGCUUGCUUAUUUCGUUAGUGGCGCACGGGUGAGUAAUGUAUAGCUAACCUGCCCUUUAGUGGGGGACAACAGUUGGAAACGACUGCUAAUACCCCAUACUCCUUCUUAUCUUAAGAUAAGUUGGGAAAGAUUUAUUGCUAAAGGAUGGGGCUUUAUGGUAUCAGCUAGUUGGUGGGGUAACGGCCUACCAAGGCGAUGACGCCUACCUGGUCUGAGAGGAUGAUCAGGCACACUGGAACUGAGACACGGUCCAGACUCCUACGGGAGGCAGCAGUGGGGAAUAUUGCACAAUGGAGGAAACUCUGAUGCAGCAACGCCGCGUGGAGGAUGACGCAUUUCGGUGUGUAAACUCCUUUUAUAAGGGAAGAUAAUGACGGUACCUUAUGAAUAAGCACCGGCUAACUCCGU